UAAACGACUCUCGGCAACGGAUAUCUCGGCUCACGCAUCGAUGAAGAACGUAGCAAAAUGCGAUACUUGGUGUGAAUUGCAGAAUCCCGUGAACCAUCGAGUUUUUGAACGCAAGUUGCGCCCAAAGCCAUUCGGUCGAGGGCACGUCUGCCUGGGCGUCACGC
This 164-nucleotide ribosomal RNA is filed under the name Vernonia brachycalyx. RNAcentral describes it as "5.8S ribosomal RNA". It matches the Rfam family "5.8S ribosomal RNA". From Rfam's summary of the family: 5.8S ribosomal RNA (5.8S rRNA) is a component of the large subunit of the eukaryotic ribosome. RNAcentral also lists the same sequence under 1 other name. The record is from RNAcentral. Lineage: Eukaryota; Viridiplantae; Streptophyta; Magnoliopsida; Asterales; Asteraceae.